GACGAACGCUGGCGGCGUGCUUAACACAUGCAAGUCGAACGAUGAAGCCGGAGCUUGCUCUGGUGAAUUAGUGGCGAACGGGUGAGUAACACGUGAGUAACCUGCCCUUGACUCUGGGAUAACUGCGGGAAACUGUAGCUAAUACCGGAUACGACCCUCGGAGGCAUCUCCUGGGGGUGGAAAGAAUUUCGGUCAAGGAUGGACUCGCGGCCUAUCAGCUAGUUGGUGAGGUAAAGGCUCACCAAGGCGACGACGGGUAGCCGGCCUGAGAGGGCGACCGGCCAAACUGGGACGGAGAUACGGCACAGACUCCUACGGGAGGCAGCAGUGGGGAAUAUUGCACAAUGGGCGCAAGCCUGAUGGAGCGACGCCGCGUGAGGGAUGACGGCCUUCGGGUUGUAAACCUCUUUCAGCAUCGACGAAGCGAAAGUGACGGUAGGUGCAGAAGAAGGACCGGCCAACUACGUGCCAGCCGCCGCCGUAA
Molecule: ribosomal RNA, 484 nt
Filed under: uncultured bacterium
Lineage: Bacteria
Description: partial 16S ribosomal RNA
Rfam family: Bacterial small subunit ribosomal RNA
Source: RNAcentral